GGAAGCUGCAGGUUUGUCAGUAGUUUUAACAGUGCGAUACAUCUGCAAAUGACUUUUGACAUGAGCUAGAGUGAGAUCUUUGACAUCCAUUAGCUCCAAUACUGAUUUUGGAGUAGCCCUUUCAUGUCCACCAAGAAGCUCAACAGCAUGAACAAAUCUAGCAUGAAGUGUACUAGUCCAUCUCAUUCUUGGUGCUCUCAUACUUCUUUUAGCUGGGAGUUUAGGUAAAAAUCUUGAUCUCAUCAAACUAUGAGAAUUUGCAAUAUUUUCAUGAUGAGAAUUAUGUAUUAAAUGACCAUAUUGACUAUGAUGAUGAUGAUGAUAUUGAAGAGGAUGAUGAUGUGGCACGUGAUGAUAAGACGAGGAUGAUAUCCCAUUAAACCUAUUAUUAAAAUAAGGCGAAGGCGAAGAAGGAGAAGGAGAAGAAGGAGGAGGAGGAGAUGAUGAUGGGUAAAAACACAUCUUUGGAUCUUUCUCCUUGUCUAUAUUUGUUGCCAAAAAAGGAAAUGAACGGUUGUGAUUGUACACGGGGAUACCCUUGAUAGGGCGUAAACCGUCAGAUACAUCUAAAGAUGAAACCCCAUGAUUUAUUUGGUUCAUUGGUUGAACCAAAUGACUAUAAUUUUGACUCUGG
RNAcentral lists this unclassified non-coding RNA (634 nucleotides) under Hevea brasiliensis (rubber tree). The record is from RNAcentral. Lineage: Eukaryota; Viridiplantae; Streptophyta; Magnoliopsida; Malpighiales; Euphorbiaceae.